RNAcentral lists this ribosomal RNA (254 nucleotides) under uncultured bacterium. RNAcentral's name for it is "partial 16S ribosomal RNA". It matches the Rfam family "Bacterial small subunit ribosomal RNA", at positions 524 to 776 of the family's 1533-position model. The record is from RNAcentral.
UACGUAGGGUGCAAGCGUUGUCCGGAAUUAUUGGGCGUAAAGAGCUCGUAGGCGGCUUGUUGCGUCGACCGUGAAAACCCGCGGCUCAACUGCGGGCUUGCGGUUGAUACGGGCAGGCUGGAGUUCGGUAGGGGAGACUGGAAUUCCUGGUGUGAGCGGUGAAAUGCGCAGAUAUCAGGAGGAACACCGGUGGCGAAGGCGGUUCUCUGGGCAUUGACCUGACGCUGAGGAGCGAAAGUGUGGGAGCGAACAGG